This 239-nucleotide ribosomal RNA is filed under the name uncultured bacterium. RNAcentral describes it as "partial 16S ribosomal RNA". It matches the Rfam family "Bacterial small subunit ribosomal RNA", at positions 15 to 236 of the family's 1533-position model. The record is from RNAcentral.
CAUCCUGGCUCAGGAUGAACGCUGGCGGCGUGCUUAACACAUGCAAGUCGAGCGAAGCGCUUUUGCGGAUUUCUUUCGGAUUGAAGCAAUUGUGACUGAGCGGCGGACGGGUGAGUAACGCGUGGGUAACCUGCCUCAUACAGGGGGAUAACAGUUGGAAACGGCUGCUAAUACCGCAUAAGCGCACAGUACCGCAUGGUACCGUGUGAAAACUACGGUGGUAUGAGAUGGACCCGCGU